GGAGACACAAGACAGCUGCAUUGAAAUAAAACUUUAUUAAAUCAGUGAUAGCAGUGGCUUGACAUUGAUUACAGUCUCUUUUGUGCUCUACCAACUGCAGGGAAAAUUAGGGAUCGAAACACGUCAAGUCUCUACUGAAUAUAAUGUCCUUGGCUGAGGUCAAGGCGUUCUUUAUUAUGCUGUAAACAUUUCAAACAAAAGGUAGCGAGUUUGUAAUCCUGAUUAAUCAUUCAAUUCUUUAUCUAUAUGAUCUGUCCCUGGUAGCUUCAAUGGCAUCAUCAACCAUGUACCAUAAACAUCUAUUCCUUAAUCGAAAUAAAGCCAAGCUUUUGAAGUUCUAGUUUGGUUGUUGGUUCCUCAUUCAUUGUCCAGUCAAUUGUAAUCUCAAGACUGCUUUGCUCAUAAUCAAUAACUUCUGAAUAUUUCAUGUGAUCCUGGAUUCAAGUUAGAAUGCUCAAACUUCCAUCCCCAACUCAUGCCACUUGUUUUAUUAUGAAAGUGACACAUCAUGGUACCAUUUAUCCAUAAUUGCUCGAAAUAAUUUCAAAAUUUAUACCUCCAAUACUCUGAAGGACAUCCUCAGGCUAAUGAAAGUUUUCUUGUGAUCAACUUCCUCAGAUAACUAAAAAUCCUAGCUCUAAAGCGCCAUCAUCAAUGCAAAUCAGGCAACCAAAUUAUCAAAAUCCAAAUGCUUUGAAUUUCAUUGUUACUGAUGACCCAAAAAGUCUGAGUCAAAUCCUUCAGAUCGUAAAAUGUUAUGAAUUUGCAUAUUUGUUUCAUAUAAGACAUCCAUUUGACUAAGUGAUUCAGCUUCAGCAAAGAAUUCAUGAACAAGACCAUUUAUUUCAACAAAUGAGCAACCCGGUUUCUUCUGUAUUUUCUGACGAGCCAUACACUUUCUCACUCUGCUCACAUCACCCCACCUUGAAGCUGAAGCAUAAACAUGGGACAAUAGAAUUUGUGCCUCAGACUUUCUUGGCUCCAAUUCCUCAAUUUUGUUGGUCGCAAGCUCCGCUAAUUCUAUAUUCCCAUGACUCCUACAAGCAAAUAGCAGGGAUCGCCAUGUCACCACAUCAGGUUGAACAGGCAUCGCCCUGAUGAACUUUUCAGCCUCAACCAUUAAGUUAGCACGGCCAAGAAGAUCAACCAUACAUCCAUAAUGUUCAAUACGUGGCUUAAUAUGAUGAAUAAGACUCAUGGCUUUAAAAUAGUGAAACCCCUUAUCCACAAAACCACCAUGACUACAAGCAGACAAGACACCGAGGAAUGUAACCUCAUUUGGCUUAACAUCACUUGACAUUUCCAUCUGUGCAAACAGGUCCAAUGCUUCAUCAGAGUUCCCAUUCAUGGCAAGCCCAGAAAUCAUUGAGGUCCAUGAAAAUACAUCUCUCUUAACCAAUACAUCUCUCUUAACUAAUACAUCUCUCUUAACCAUCUCAUUGAAAAUCUGGCGAGCCUUUUCAACUUCUCCACAUUUUGAAUACAUAUCUAUCAAAGCAUUUCUCACAGAGAGGUUCAUGUCAAUACCAUUCCUUUCACAGUAAGCAUGCACCCAUCUUCCCUGAUCCAGGGCUCCCAAAUGUCCACACGCAGAAAUAACAGAAGCAACCAAUGCUGCAUCUGCAACAACCUCGGCAAGUUGCAUCUCCCUAAACAAUUCAAUUCCUUCCUUAAACAUAUCCAACCUCGCAUAACCUACUAUCAUGGAAGUCCAGCACACUAGAUUUCUAUCGGGAAUUUUAUCAAAAACCUUCCUGGCAUCCUCCAUUUUCCCGCAUUUUGCAUACAUAUCAAUCAAAGACGAACCCAAAAAAACAUCUAAAACAAACCUAUUUACUAUAAUCAAUCCAUGAAGUUCUUUCCCCAAAUCAAGAAAUCCCAUCCUUCCAGAAGCAGUGAGUGCAUUAAUCAAUGUGACCUCAUCAAAUCUAACACAAUUAUCACCCAGUAAAUUCCCAAAAACCUUCAAUGCUUCCGCACUACAAUCACACUGUAAAUACCCAGAUAUCAUACUAUUCCAAGAUACCACAUCCCUGGUAAAAAAUGGAACCAAGUCAAAAACUCUACGUGCUAUUUCAAUUUUUCCACAGGAGGAAUACAUUGAAACUAAAGCAUUUUGCACAAAAAUAUCAAAUUCAAGCCCCAGUUUAAGGCUCAAAGCAUGCACUUCUUGACCUUUAUUCAGAAGCAAAUGACGCCCACAGACUUUAAAAAUGAACGGGAAAGUAUAAUUAUCAGGGAAAAUGCCAUUAUUCAGCAUUAAAUUGUACAGAGUGAUGGAUUCUAUAGGGGUUGAGCUCUGAGAAUGGCCUUUAAACAUAAAAUUAUAGGCAAAGAUAUUUGGGUUUUUGAUUUGGAAGAAGAGGGAGCGAGAAAAGGAAAGAUUAUGAGAGAUAGAGAAAGAGUAGAAAAGUAGUUUGCUUGAUAUGCAUGGGUCUGUAAAGAGACCCGAAGCAAUGGCGUAAGACAGAAUACAAUUGAAAUGGGUUGGGUGUUUGAUACAUUCCGAGAAGCAUUUAUUGGGGUUCGAGAGGAGGAAGAGAGGAAGGAGAAAUUUUGGAGCUUUUUGUUUCCAAGUUUUGAGAGUGGAUGGAAGGCUGGUCAUAGAUGGGGAAAAGAAACUAAUUUUGCCUAGGGUUUUUUGAGGAGAAUCGAAUCAAAACAGGUUUUGCCGGGGAAAGUAACAGACCCCUAACUACAAUUUCAAAG
Molecule: unclassified non-coding RNA, 2709 nt
Filed under: Hevea brasiliensis (rubber tree)
Lineage: Eukaryota; Viridiplantae; Streptophyta; Magnoliopsida; Malpighiales; Euphorbiaceae
Source: RNAcentral